GUGCUACAGGAGGGUGUUUGAUCUCUGUUUCAGUCAAUACCCUCUCCGUGCCUUACACUGUGAACAUAGCGAGACCUGCUGACAGCACUCAGAUAUUUUUGGUGAACUGCUCUCAGGCAAAUCUUUGUUAAUUUCCUCUGUGUUGAUUGGCCAGAAGACUUGGAAACUGCUUUGAUUUGAUGAACUGGAAAUUAUUUGACUCUGUACAUUUGCUCAAUGGCCAAAAUCUUACCCAGCAGUUCCUUUUGUUUGAGGAGCAGGUGCACUGAAGACUUCAACUCCCAUUAGAUCAAUCCCAGGGGAUUCAGAUCCGUGAUCAGUUAUUGCUUUUGGCUCCUCCUCUGACAUGAGGGCUUGAAAUGCUCAAGGCAGAACACACCAACUUGGACUUCAGGGCUGGAAGCAGAGGAGCCCACUUUAUGAUCAGCUCCUGCCCUGCUCCAACACCAAGAAUGGGUCGAGGUGAGAACAUGGGACACCUGACUGAACCUGGCCGCAGGCAGAAGACACAGCAGGAGCCUCUGGAUGUGGACCCAUUGUUUAUCCGCUUCCUCCGGACGUUCAGGGAAAUCCUCAAAUUUGUUCUCUUCAGCUACACAGUGCUGUUUGGUGCUCUGCUUCUUGCCAGAUGGACCACUUAUUUCAUGGUGGGGAAAUGAAAAGAAAGUGACUGUUGGAGAAUGAACCCGUCCACGGACUUAGAGCUUAUUAAUGAAGUUGUUGAGGCAGACCUUCGUGGGAUUUGUGGUCUAUGCAGUUGCUAUAAAUUAUUCAUGUCUCCACACACAACAGUAACAGCUGGAAUGAUGAUGCUUCCUUAUUUGACUCACGCUCUGCAGUAUCACUCACAGCUUUUGUACUUUUUUUGGUUUGUCUUUAAAUAAUCCAAACAGGGUUUUGCAGGCCUAUAGAGCAAUUUAAACAAGACAGUUUGCAUCAAAUGUGUUUGUUUAUAGUGCUUAAAUGUGCAGUAUAGAAACUGUGGUAUCUGCUGAGUCACAAAAUGACUCCAGUGAAGCUAUAUAAAACAUGUCUGUAUGGUUGUGUAGCAAACAAAAAACAGUUCUGUGUAAUCAUGACCGACAAAAGCUUGAAAGAUGUUUUUCCUUGAGAAGUACAUAUAAAGUUUGACAAAAAUGUUAAUGUAAAUAAGGCAUAACAACGUCUCCAGAAUGAAUUGGCAAAACAAAGAUGUCCCUUCUGACAGGAUCAUGUGUGUCUGGGAAAGCUGAAUUUUUAAACGGACAUGGCGGACAGCUGCCCUGGGGGAGUCUAGGCUCCCAGAGGGCCUGAGAGUUUACUGUAUGGGAAUUAAUUUAUGAUAAUUUAAUAAAGUGCAAAUAGUUUUGGCGAUAUUGUAUGCACCACCAAAGCACUGUAUAAACAGAAAUGAUUUGGGCCUUAAGGACACACCUGCAUUAUUACCUCAUCUUGAUGCCCUUUCCUGUCAAGUUAAAAUCUGUGUUUGAGGCCUUUAUUAUUUCAAUUUAUAUUGUGCUUAGAUGGAGCAUAUUCCUAAAUACAUGUGUGAUUAGUCACAUUGCCAAAAACAGGUUUGCCUCUGUGGUUUAGGGGUUAAGAUGCCGGCCAUGCCAAAUGUUCUCAGUUUGUUGCAUCUAAUUCCUUUGCUUGUUUCCUGUUAUCUCUCUGCUAGUACUAUCAUAACAAGCAUAAAAUGCCUUAAGUAAUUAUUGAAAAAUCUUAACCAGAAACUUAAUAAUACUCACAUGAUGGGAAAAGAGGAGGACUGGGAGAGGGAUGUGUCAGUAUGGACUCAGAAGACAUUUUGACUUGUGACAAUGAGAAAAGCACAGGUGUAAAUAAUAAAAUGAAUUAUAGCUGAA
Molecule: non-coding RNA, 1844 nt
Organism: Epinephelus lanceolatus (giant grouper)
Lineage: Eukaryota; Metazoa; Chordata; Actinopteri; Perciformes; Serranidae
Source: RefSeq, a predicted model, not a curated record